RNAcentral lists this ribosomal RNA (917 nucleotides) under uncultured bacterium. RNAcentral describes it as "bacterial SSU rRNA". It matches the Rfam family "Bacterial small subunit ribosomal RNA", at positions 9 to 915 of the family's 1533-position model. The record is from RNAcentral.
GAGUUUGAUCAUGGCUCAGGACGAACGCUGGCGGCGUGGAUUAGGCAUGCAAGUCGAACGGUAGAGGUUCCUUCGGGGAUCUUGAGAGCGGCGAACGGGUGAGUAACGCGUAGGUUAUCUACCCUCAAAUUGGGGACAACCCAGGGAAACUUGGGCUAAUACCGAAUGAGAGUGCUCUUCGGAGUAUUUAAAAGAUGGCAGUAAUGCUGUUGUUUGAGGAUGAGCCUGCGUCCCAUUAGUUAGUUGGUGAGGUAACGGCUCACCAAGGCGAUGAUAGGUAGGCGGCCUUAACGGGUGGUCGCCCACACUGGGAUUGAGAUACGGCCCAGACUCCUACGGGAGGCAGCAGUCGAGAAUAGUCUACAAUGGUCGAAAGACUGAUAGUGCGACGCCGCGUGAACGAUGAAGUCCUUCGGGGCGUAAAGUUCUUUUAUAUGUGAGCAAUGCCAGAUAUAUGAAUAGUAUGUUUGGAGCGAUAUUAGCAUAUGAAUAAGCAACGGCUAACUCCGUGCCAGCAGCCGCGGUAACACGGGGGUUGCAAGCGUUGUCCGGAAUUACUAGGCGUAAAGGGCAGGUAGGCGGAUCUAUAAGUUUAAUGUUAAAGGCGACGGCUUACCCGUCGUAAGGCGUUAGAUACUGUAGAUCUGGAAUACGGUUGGGGAAGACAGAAUUCCUGGUGUAGCGGUGGAAUGCGCAGAGAUCAGGAGGAAUACCGAAGGCGAAGGCAGUCUUCUAAGCCGUUAUUGACGCUAAACUGCGAAGGUGUGGGUAUCAAACAGGAUUAGAUACCCUGGUAGUCCACAGUAAACGAUAAUCACUAGGUGUCGGGUUCGUAGAGAAUUCGGUGCCGUAGCUAACGCGAUAAGUGAUUCGCCUGGGGAGUACGAUCGCAAGGUUGAAACUCAAAGGAAUUGACG